UACCAGCACCCCGAGUGGUCGGGACGAUUAUUGGGCCUAAAGCAUCCGUAGCCGGUUCUACAAGUCUUCCGUUAAAUCCACCUGCUUAACAGAUGGGCUGCGGAGGAUACUAUAGAGCUAGGAGGCGGGAGAGGCAAGCGGUACUUGGUGGGUAGGGGUAAAAUCCGUUGAUCCAUUGAAGACCACCAGUGGCGAAGGCGGCUUGCCAGAACGCACUCGACGGUGAGGGAUGAAAGCUGGGGGAGCAAACCGG
This 253-nucleotide ribosomal RNA is filed under the name uncultured bacterium. RNAcentral describes it as "partial 16S ribosomal RNA". It matches the Rfam family "Archaeal small subunit ribosomal RNA", at positions 474 to 727 of the family's 1478-position model. The record is from RNAcentral.